UACGAAGGGGGCUAGCGUUGCUCGGAAUCACUGGGCGUAAAGCGCACGUAGGCGGCUUUCUAAGUCAGGGGUGAAAUCCUGGAGCUCAACUCCAGAACUGCCUUUGAUACUGAGAAGCUUGAGUCCGGGAGAGGUGAGUGGAACUGCGAGUGUAGAGGUGAAAUUCGUAGAUAUUCGCAAGAACACCAGUGGCGAAGGCGGCUCACUGGCCCGGUACUGACGCUGAGGUGCGAAAGCGUGGGGAGCAAACAGG
Molecule: ribosomal RNA, 253 nt
Filed under: uncultured bacterium
Lineage: Bacteria
Description: partial 16S ribosomal RNA
Rfam family: Bacterial small subunit ribosomal RNA
Source: RNAcentral